Molecule: small RNA, 106 nt
Filed under: Saimiri boliviensis boliviensis (Bolivian squirrel monkey)
Lineage: Eukaryota; Metazoa; Chordata; Mammalia; Primates; Cebidae
Description: Y RNA (ENSSBOG00000012407.1)
Source: RNAcentral
AGCCUCCCAAAGUACUGGGAUUACAAGUAUGAGCUACCAUGCCCAGCCCCAGUGACGAAUUUCUUUUUUCCUUCUUGCUCCCACUGCUUAACUUGAUUAGCCUUUA